AUACGGAGGGGGCAAGCGUUGUUCGGAAUUAUGGGGCGUAAAGGGCGCGUAGGCGGCCAGGUAAGUCGGUUGUGAAAUCCCUUGGCUCAACCAAGGAACUGCAACCGAAACUGCCGGGCUUGAGUCCGGGAGAGGGUAGUGGAAUUCCCAGUGUAGCGGUGAAAUGCGUAGAUAUUGGGAGGAACACCAGUGGCGAAGGCGGCUACCUGGACCGGUACUGACGCUGAUGCGCGAAAGCUAGGGGAGCAAACAGGAUUAGAAACCCCGGUAGUCC
RNAcentral lists this ribosomal RNA (274 nucleotides) under uncultured bacterium. RNAcentral describes it as "partial 16S ribosomal RNA". It matches the Rfam family "Bacterial small subunit ribosomal RNA", at positions 523 to 796 of the family's 1533-position model. The record is from RNAcentral.